Molecule: long non-coding RNA, 945 nt
Filed under: Junco hyemalis (dark-eyed junco)
Lineage: Eukaryota; Metazoa; Chordata; Aves; Passeriformes; Passerellidae
Description: lncRNA (ENSJHYG00000018047.1)
Source: RNAcentral
UGGUUUUGUCAUAAGGCUCGUGCUAUUUUGUGAAUUCUCGCCGGAUCAUCAGUGAAUAUCACUAUCUUCAGCUUCUGUUUACUGCAGCUUCUGAAUAUUGUAAAUUUUACAGGCUUAAAAGGAUGAUGCCAGAGGCUCUCAGCGUCUGGACUUGGUUAAAAUUUGUGGUGCAGAGAAAAGAGGAAGGAGGUGGAGUGGAAAUGAAGAUCUCCAUCUGAGCAGUGCCCUUCAUCUCCUGUGCCACCAUGAGGAACAGUCUCUUCAGACAACUAGCCUCAACAAGUAUGCCAAGACUAUUUAGGUGGUGAAAUAUUUGGAAUAAGAUUUGAGGUUGGUGCAUUCUUCCACCCUGCCGGAUGAACAGAGUGGUCCAGCAGCCUUGAGGGGAAGCACACGAAAUGUGACGUCUUUCCUGGAUCCUCUUUGUUCUCAGGAUGUCUGGAUGGGUGCCUCAUCCUACAGACUCAGCAAUUGCUUCAGAGGUUUGCUACUGUGAGACUAUGCUGGAAGUGAUCCAGAAGAGCAGUACAGGGCAUACUGGAGAAGCCACAGAUGCCUGUACUUCCCAUUGCAGGCAGAAGAAAAAUUCCUCUUCUGCCCUUGCUACUGAGGUUCCCAGAGCAUGAGUAGUGCAUUCUCUUGCCAGAUGAGUGUGAAUCAGCAAGGUGUCUGUGUUGAGAAGUUCAGAGCUCCUUGUUCCCACACCAAUCUCGAGAAACAGGCCCUCUCAGAUUGUCUUGAGUUGUGCACCUGGAAGCAAAGUCAAGUGAGAAUAGCUGGUCAUUUUUGAAAGUACCAAUUGCACUUAGUGGAGGGGGAAGAUAAUUGUUUAACUCUCUGUAUCUAUCUCUGUUUUGAGUUCAGAGUACAGAAAUGUAUAUUUCUUGCCCUCUUGGUUAGGUGAAGGAUGACAUACUGUAAAAUAAAACCUCUCCAAGUGCCUCA